Molecule: ribosomal RNA, 253 nt
Filed under: uncultured bacterium
Lineage: Bacteria
Description: partial 16S ribosomal RNA
Rfam family: Bacterial small subunit ribosomal RNA
Source: RNAcentral
UACGGGGGGGGCAAGCGUUGUUCGGAAUUACUGGGCGUAAAGGGCUCGUAGGUGGCCAACUAAGUCAGACGUGAAAUCCCUCGGCUUAACCGGGGAACUGCAUCUGAUACUGGAUGGCUUGAGUUCGGGAGAGGGAUGCGGAAUUCCAGGUGUAGCGGUGAAAUGCGUAGAUAUCUGGAGGAACACCGGUGGCGAAGGCGACAUCCUGGACCGGUAUUGACGCUGAGGCGCGAAAGCCAGGGGAGCAAACGGG